AACAUUUUCAUGUUUGGAAAAAGUGGCGUAUGUGGCUUGUUUUACAGAUCUUGUUUAUUUUUUAGCUUCUGAGUGUCGUUUAUGAGAAAGUGGAGAAAGAAAUGUACUAAUGCAGAAAGGGAAAAGUUAACCUGAUGGCCAUGCAUGCAGCCACCCACACGAAGGGCCGUGCACGCAGCCACACGACCAUUUCUAAGACUUAGCCGAGGACAAGGCUCUACUCUUAACCUUCACUCGUAUCAUUUAUUAUUUGUGAAAUUGCUGCAGAGACCAGAAGAUAAAGAGAUUAAUGAUGCCUUUAUGGUUCCUAAUGUAGAUUAUUAUUGAAAAUCUGUCAAUUUAACUGGCAAGCUUUUGGCUCAAAAAAUAAGGUCCUCAUUUAUAAUUUGCAGACAAUGAUCACUCAAAUUAUAGGAAGUAACUGGGAAAUAAAAAUAACUAUUAUGAUGAAAACCACAUAAUUAUCUUUCUCAUUAAGAGCAUGAGGCAUUCUAUUAUUCCUGGGAUGUGCAGCAUACUCUUUAACAGCUGUUGCAAAUGAACUAAAACAUCUGAAUGGGAAAGAAAAUGCAUUACUGAUCACUCAAACGAUGAAAAAUAAGUAGCGUUGUAAUGGCCCGAGUGCUCCAAAGCACAGCCUAGCAGGAAGUCCCUCCCACAAGAAACCACAACCAAGCCACAUGCAGACCCUUCUAGAAUCCACUUCAGCUUUCCUCCCUCACUUGUCUUAACAGAGUUCUGCUUGCUGAUGGUAGCAUGUGAUAGGAUGGUACGUCCUCUGCUCUGGUGUGGAGAUUUGGGGUUUUCUAAGAACACCUUCUUUUCUUUAGGGCUAGAAAAGUAUGAGACAUGCCAAUCCCUUUGUGAAGUUAAUCUUGGCAAUCAACUCAUCUGGACUGAGAGAUGCCUAGAGAAUUGUGAUAGCACACUUUCUAGGUGUGUCUGUAAAGGUGUUUCCUGAAAAGCUUUACAUUUUCGUCAGGGACUGAAGGGAAACACCACGCCAAAGGUGAGUCACGUUACCCAACCAGAUGUGGUCCUACGGAGCAGCAGUGGUUGUAGGCCUCCAGCCCUGGGCUGGGUUGUGUCACUGGUUCCUCCUGGGCUGGGUUGUGUCACUGGUUCCUCCUGGGCUGGGAUGUGUCACUGGUUCCUUCUGGGCUGGGAUAUGUCACUGGUCCCUCUUGCUCUGAGGCUUCCAGCUGCCUGGUGGGAGCAGCUACUGAUUCCUCAACCUAUCCAAGCACAGAUGGCCACCAUGGGCUUUGAAGCCUCUGAUUCUGUAAGCUAUCUAAUAAAUUGACUUCAUAUAUACAUUAGAUGGGUUAUUUUCCUCUCCAGAGCCUUGAGCAGCAUGUUAUUUUAAAAGUUAUUUCUAUCUGUUUGCCUCACUGAAGGAUUCUUGCUUUCUGGAGCUCCUUCUUCCAGGGAGGCCCUUUCUAGGCCCCUGCCCCCAUCUGCUUGUCCUGCUCUGUAGUGGGCUAGUGCAAAUGUACUGGUACUUGAGACUGGAGAAGCCUGGACACUGUGGUCAUCCCAUGUUAAGGAAUACACUGGAAGUCACUUUGGAUAGAAACUUGUGAAUAAGAUAUCAAGUACAAGUUUUGACAAGUCAAUACGCUCUAUGAAUAAGACACUUUUAUUUUAAUAUAAAGAGAAAAGCUUGAACAGCUAAAAUAGCUAUACAAAUUAUAAAUAGGGACUAAUCAUUUGCUGAAAUGCCUUUCCAUACUCUACCAAGAUUGGAUCAGGCACACUUUUCUACCCCCAAGUAAGUCAUCAGAGAACAUUUAAAAAAAUAUCCACAUAGUUGCUUUAAAGACUAUCUAAAACAAGAUCCACAAAUUACCGACAGCAUCUAAGAAUGGUGCGCGUUGUCUACAUGCAGAGCUAAGUGUAGGAGGAGAAAAAGUAAAGCUCAAGGCAUUUAGCUGAUUUAAAUGAAGAAAUGGUAUUCUAAGAAAAUGUGGGCUUAGGGGGCGUUUUUGACUGCUGUCAGGCAGUUUUCUUGUUUAGGAACAGUAGAUAAUAAAGUGUGUUUUAUAUCGUGUUUUUCUUACAUGAAUAUUUCAAUGGAGAGCUUAUUGUUUCCAGAGUAGAUCAACGUCCUCUUCAAUAUGAUUGCUUGGAAAGCUGGAAGUGAAUGCUAGGAGAGUUCACAUAUAUAGUUCUUUGAUUUAUCCAUAGGAAAGAGCUGAGAGAAGAUAAUUCUAUACCUAAAAUCAAUGCCCAUGGAAAAAUUAAGUAUUAGAAAGGAGCAAUAUGGUGCAAUUUCCAUGCUAUACAAUAUUAUAUAUUACAUCAUAAAAAUUUCCUGCUAUAUUGUAAUAUCUAAAGAAAGAACUAUAUCAUUGUAUGUACUUUAUGGUUGAUUUUUCUAGUGUGACUCACUAAUGUUCAUGUACAGUAAGGAAAUGAGUGUUAAAUAAGCUUGUAUCAGGGGACAGAUAAAGUCAUAGCAUAUUUAGAAGGCAUUAGGUAGUGUCUGAAGACCCAUGUCCUGACACCAAAUAUACAUAGCCUCAGCAAACCAUGCCUCGACCAUCCAUACAGUCACACAGAACCAAAUUUACAGUUAUUACCCAAAUUUGGUAUCUUAAAACAAAAUAUUUUUAUGUUAAUGCUGGAUUAAAGGCUGGGAUU
This 2643-nucleotide long non-coding RNA is filed under the name Mus musculus (house mouse). RNAcentral describes it as "long non-coding RNA chr14:8500802-8503445". The record is from RNAcentral. Lineage: Eukaryota; Metazoa; Chordata; Mammalia; Rodentia; Muridae.